AGAGUUUGAUCCUGGCUCAGAUUGAACGCUGGCGGCAUGCCUUACACAUGCAAGUCGAACGGUAACAGGUCUUCGGAUGCUGACGAGUGGCGAACGGGUGAGUAAUACAUCGGAACGUGCCCGAUCGUGGGGGAUAACGAAGCGAAAGCUUUGCUAAUACCGCAUAAGAUCUACGGAUGAAAGCAGGGGACCGCAAGGCCUUGCGCGAACGGAGCGGCCGAUGGCAGAUUAGGUAGUUGGUGGGAUAAAAGCUUACCAAGCCGACGAUCUGUAGCUGGUCUGAGAGGACGACCAGCCACACUGGGACUGAGACACGGCCCAGACUCCUACGGGAGGCAGCAGUGGGGAAUUUUGGACAAUGGGCGAAAGCCUGAUCCAGCCAUGCCGCGUGCAGGAUGAAGGCCUUCGGGUUGUAAACUGCUUUUGUACGGAACGAAAAGACU
Molecule: ribosomal RNA, 443 nt
Filed under: uncultured bacterium
Lineage: Bacteria
Description: bacterial SSU rRNA
Rfam family: Bacterial small subunit ribosomal RNA
Source: RNAcentral